This 253-nucleotide ribosomal RNA is filed under the name uncultured bacterium. Its description in RNAcentral is "partial 16S ribosomal RNA". It matches the Rfam family "Bacterial small subunit ribosomal RNA", at positions 524 to 776 of the family's 1533-position model. The record is from RNAcentral.
UACGUAGGUGGCAAGCGUUGUCCGGAUUUACUGGGCGUAAAGCGCGCGCAGGCGGAUCGGUCAGUCCGGGGUGAAAUCUCACGGCUCAACUGUGAGCGGUCCCCGGAUACUGCCAGUCUCGAGGUGUCUAGAGGAGAGCGGAAUUCCCCGGUGUAGUGGUGGAAUGCGUAGAUAUCGGGAAGAACACCAGUGGCGAAAGCGGCUCUCUGGGGACCACCUGACGCUGAGGCGCGAAGCGUGGGGAGCGAACCGG